RNAcentral lists this ribosomal RNA (800 nucleotides) under uncultured bacterium. RNAcentral describes it as "bacterial SSU rRNA". It matches the Rfam family "Bacterial small subunit ribosomal RNA", at positions 100 to 902 of the family's 1533-position model. The record is from RNAcentral.
CACGGGUGCGUAACGCGUAUGCAAUCUACCCUUUACUGGGGAAUAGCCCGGAGAAAUUCGGAUUAAUGCCCCAUAUGCCCACGGAAUCGCAUGGUUCAGUGGGGAAAGUUCCGACGGUAAAGGAUGAGCAUGCGUCCCAUUAGCUAGUUGGUGAGGUAACGGCUCACCAAGGCGACGAUGGGUAGGGGGCCUGAGAGGGUGAUCCCCCACACUGGUACUGAGACACGGACCAGACUCCUACGGGAGGCAGCAGUGAGGAAUAUUGGGCAAUGGAGGCAACUCUGACCCAGCCAUGCCGCGUGCAGGAAGACGGCCCUCUGGGUUGUAAUCUGCUUUUGUUUGGGAAUAAACCCUUCUACGUGUAGGAGGCUGAAGGUACCUUACGAAUAAGCAUCGGCUAACUCCGUGCCAGCAGCCGCGGUAAUACGGAGGAUGCACGCGUUAUCCGGAUUUAUUGGGUUUAAAGGGUCCGUAGGCGGAUCUUUAAGUCAGUGGUGAAAGCCCACAGCUCAACUGUGGAACUGCCAUUGAUACUGGAGAUCUUGAGUGUAGUAGAAGUAGGCGGAAUAGGGCAUGUAGCGGUGAAAUGCAUAGAUAUGCCCUAGAACACCGAUUGCGAAGGCAGCUUACUAUGUUACAACUGACGCUGAGGGACGAAAGCGUGGGGAGCAAACAGGAUUAGAUACCCUGGUAGUCCACGCUGUAAACGAUGAUUACUCGCUGUUGGCGACAUACAGUCAGCGGCCAAGCGAAAGCAUUAAGUAAUCCACCUGGGGAGUACGCCGGCAACGGUGAAACUC